GUACCUGGACCAGUACUAGAGUUAACAGAGCCUAGAACACCCAGUCUCCCUGAGGCCAUGAGGACAACAGACCAGGAACACACCAGACUCUUUAUUCACUCAGUCAUCAGGUAAGAACGACUCUUUAUUCACUCAGUCAUCAGGUAAGAACCAGACCCUUUAUUCACCCAGUCAUCAGGUAAGAAUCACUCUUUAUUCACUCCUUCAUCAGGUAAGAACCAGACCCUUGAUUCACUCAUUCAUCAGGUAAGAACCUGAUUCUUGAUUCACUCAUUCACCAGGUAAGAACCUGACCCUUUAUUCACUCAGACAUCAGGUAAGAACCAGACCCUUUAUUCACUCAGACAUCAGGUAAGAACCAGACCCUUU
Long non-coding RNA from Gadus macrocephalus (Pacific cod), 369 nucleotides. RefSeq lists it as uncharacterized. The record is from RefSeq and is a predicted model, not a curated record. The transcript is spliced from 2 exons. NCBI's taxonomy places the organism in Eukaryota, Metazoa, Chordata, Actinopteri, Gadiformes, Gadidae.